UAACCCGCACCACUUAUCGUGGUGGGAGACAGUGUCAGGCGGGCAGUUUGACUGGGGCGGUCGCCUCCUAAAAGGGAACGGAGGCGCUCAAAGGUUCCCUCAGAAUGGGUGGAAAUCAUUCAUAGAGUGUAAAGGCAUAAGGGAGCUUGACUGCGAGACCUACAAGUCGAGCAGGGUCGAAAGACGGACUUAGUGAUCCGGUG
Molecule: ribosomal RNA, 203 nt
Filed under: Staphylococcus aureus
Lineage: Bacteria; Bacillati; Bacillota; Bacilli; Caryophanales; Staphylococcaceae
Description: partial 23S ribosomal RNA
Rfam family: Bacterial large subunit ribosomal RNA
Source: RNAcentral